GACCUAGAUGAUUCUGAUCCCUUCUUCUCCAAAGGGCCAGAAAUAAUCAGCAGCACAGGGUGUGAGAUCUACUGGAAAGAUGGUAAAGACCUCACCCUGAAAACCCUGAAGCUGCAGAAAUGUGAGGGCCCUGAAGGUGUCGCACCAACCUCUAGGAAGGUGCCCAGCUAUUCUUUCUUCACCUACUUCUCUCCUCCCUGGGGGUAGAGUACUGGAUGUGGCUACUGAGUAUAAAUUGGGUUAUUUUUUUCCGUGAAGUUCCGGUCCCAAAGUCUGUAUUAUACUUCACAAAAGAAGCGAGUGAUUAUCAAUAUGAAGAGUCUGAUGAGGAGGUCCAAGAAGCUGAAGGUGAGGAGGAGGACAGCGAUAAAAAACCAGAAGGACCUGGAAAGGACCUGGACCCAGCAGAGGACAGCCCGGGAGAACCCAGCUGUCAAGCAUAGAAAGACAUGAUGGAGGAAGAAACAGUGGACGUGUCCCGCACGAAUUUGAGAUUUUCGGCUUCUCAGUAGCCAGUGGGAAUUUUAUCAACAUUGGUUUUGUUCCAGAUUUCAUCAUGUGAAAUGUCUUAUCCACUGACAUCUGACUUUUUUUCUUACAUUUGUCAGAUAUAUUUGACUGCGUUUGUUCAUGAUAAAAAUAAAAAUUUGCUAG
This 654-nucleotide long non-coding RNA is filed under the name Bos indicus x Bos taurus (hybrid cattle). Its description in RNAcentral is "lncRNA (ENSBIXG00005028556.1)". The record is from RNAcentral. Lineage: Eukaryota; Metazoa; Chordata; Mammalia; Artiodactyla; Bovidae.